UACAGAGGUCUCAAGCGUUGUUCGGAUUCAUUGGGCGUAAAGGGUGCGUAGGCGGCGCGGUAAGUCGGGUGUGAAAUCUCGGAGCUUAACUCCGAAACUGCAUUCGAUACUGCCGUGCUUGAGGACUGGAGAGGAGACUGGAAUUUACGGUGUAGCGGUGAAAUGCGUAGAUAUCGUAAGGAAGACCAGUGGCGAAGGCGGGUCUCUGGGCCGAUAUUGACGCUGAGGAGCGAAAGCGUGGGGAGCGAACAGG
This 253-nucleotide ribosomal RNA is filed under the name uncultured bacterium. Its description in RNAcentral is "partial 16S ribosomal RNA". It matches the Rfam family "Bacterial small subunit ribosomal RNA", at positions 524 to 776 of the family's 1533-position model. The record is from RNAcentral.